CGGGACGGGGUGAGUAAUGUCUGGGAAACUGCCUGAUGGAGGGGGAUAACUACUGGAAACGGUAGCUAUACCGCAUAACGUCGCAAGACCAAAGAGGGGGACCUUCGGGCCUCUUGCCAUCGGAUGUGCCCAGAUGGGAUUAGCUAGUAGGUGGGGUAACGGCUCACCUAGGCGACGAUCCCUAGCUGGUCUGAGAGGAUGACCAGCCACACUGGAACUGAGACACGGUCCAG
This 233-nucleotide ribosomal RNA is filed under the name uncultured bacterium. RNAcentral's name for it is "partial 16S ribosomal RNA". It matches the Rfam family "Bacterial small subunit ribosomal RNA", at positions 104 to 334 of the family's 1533-position model. The record is from RNAcentral.